ACCGGGGAGCGUAUCGCUGAGAUUGGAGCAAUCCUAAACCCGUUAAACCUGAUACGGAUAAUGCCGUCGUAGGGAGUUGCUAAA
Molecule: non-coding RNA, 84 nt
Filed under: chicken gut metagenome
Description: TPP riboswitch (THI element)
Rfam family: TPP riboswitch aptamer (THI element)
About the family: Vitamin B(1) in its active form thiamin pyrophosphate (TPP) is an essential coenzyme that is synthesised by coupling of pyrimidine and thiazole moieties in bacteria. The previously detected thiamin-regulatory element, thi box was extended, resulting in a new, highly conserved RNA secondary structure, the THI element, which is widely distributed in eubacteria and also occurs in some archaea. Analysis of operon structures identified a large number of new candidate thiamin-regulated genes, mostly transporters, in various prokaryotic organisms.
Source: RNAcentral